AUAUUAUUUUAGAUAUUAUUAUUUAUUUAUUUAAGGUGAUGGAAAUCAAUGAGUCAUCAAGGUUGCGUGCUUCAAUUACAACAGAAAAUCUUCCUGUUAAAAUACUUGUUCAUCAAAUUCUUACCCCUUCUACUUCUGACAGCAACUUUUGUGCUAUGAAAAGGAAGAUAAGAUCAAGUUCAAUGUAAGUGAAAGAUAAGGAGAAAAUCAAAAUGAAACUACAAGAAGGGUCUGUACCAAUUCGACUAGUGAUUGGCAGUGAGAUUGAUGCUUCUGAUCCAGCAACUUUUACUGUAUCUGCUCCAACAUAAUCAUCAGUUCAACCGAAAGGAAAACGAGAAACCCCCUUGGUUUGAAGAGGAAAUUACCAGAGGGAGAAGGAUCCCAUUUGAAAAAGCAUAUGAAACAUUGUUCUCAGGUCCAACACGCACCAUUACUUUUAAUGUUCAUUUUAUAUUAUGAUAUGUUGGAUUCAGUUAUGAUGUAGUGGAUGUAUAAGGAUAAAUUAAUCAAACUUAGCACAUAUCACAUAUGGUUUAACAUG
This is a non-coding RNA of Lactuca sativa (garden lettuce), 544 nucleotides long. The record is from RefSeq and is a predicted model, not a curated record. NCBI's taxonomy places the organism in Eukaryota, Viridiplantae, Streptophyta, Magnoliopsida, Asterales, Asteraceae.